RNAcentral lists this ribosomal RNA (800 nucleotides) under uncultured bacterium. RNAcentral describes it as "bacterial SSU rRNA". It matches the Rfam family "Bacterial small subunit ribosomal RNA", at positions 8 to 780 of the family's 1533-position model. The record is from RNAcentral.
AGAGUUUGAUCCUGGCUCAGAAUGAACGCUGGCGGCGUGCGUAACACAUGCAAGUCGAACGAGAAAUUCCGGGCUUGCUCGGGAGAGUAAAGUGGCGAACGGGUGAGUAACGCGUGGGUAACCUGCCCCUGAAUCUGGAAUAACUUCGCGAAAGCGAGGCUAAUACCGGAUAUUGUCCCAGGGACCUCGGUUCUUGUGAUGAAAGAUGACCUCUUCACGAAAGUUGUCGUUCAGGGAGGGGCCCGCGUACCAUUAGCUAGUUGGUAGGGUAAUGGCCUACCAAGGCGAUGAUGGUUAGCUGGUCUGAGAGGAUGACCAGCCACACUGGCACUGAAACACGGGCCAGACUCCUACGGGAGGCAGCAGUGAGGAAUUUUGCGCAAUAGGGGAAACCCUGACGCAGCAACGCCGCGUGAGUGAAGAAGGCCCUCGGGUCGUAAAGCUCUGUCAAGUGGGAAAAAAGCUUACUGGUAAAUAGCCAGCAAGACUGAUGGUACCAUUGAAGGAAGCACCGGCUAACUCCGCGCCAGCAGCCGCGGUAAUACGGAGGGUGCAAGCGCUGUUCGGAAUUACUGGGCGUAAAGGGCGUGUAGGCGGUGUGGUAAGUCAGAUGUGAAAGCCCUGGGCUUAACCCAGGAAGUGCAUUUGAAACUGCCAUGCUUGAGUAUGGGAGAGGAGAGUGGAAUUCCCAGUGUAGAGGUGAAAUUCGUAGAUAUUGGGAGGAACACCCGUGGCGAAGGCGACUCUCUGGACCAAUACUGACGCUGAGGCGCGAAAGCGUGGGGGAGCAAACAGGAUUA